This 348-nucleotide ribosomal RNA is filed under the name uncultured bacterium. RNAcentral describes it as "bacterial SSU rRNA". It matches the Rfam family "Bacterial small subunit ribosomal RNA", at positions 28 to 376 of the family's 1533-position model. The record is from RNAcentral.
GACGAACGCUGGCGGCGUGCUUAACACAUGCAAGUCGAGCGGUAAGGCCCUUUCGGGGGUACACGAGCGGCGAACGAGUGAGUAACACGUGGGUGACCUGCCCUUCGCUCUGGGAUAAGCCUGGGAAACUGGGUCUAAUACCGGAUAUGACUCCAUAACGCAUGUUGUGGGGUGGAAAGCCUUGUGCGGCUAGGGAUGGGCCCGCGGCCUAUCAGCUUGUUGGUGGGGUGANGGCCUACCAAGGCGACGACGGGUAGCCGGCCUGAGAGGGCGACCGGCCACACUGGGACUGAGACACGGCCCAGACUCCUACGGGAGGCAGCAGGCGGGGAAUCUUGCGCAAUGGGC